Molecule: non-coding RNA, 70 nt
Organism: Danionella cerebrum
Lineage: Eukaryota; Metazoa; Chordata; Actinopteri; Cypriniformes; Danionidae
Source: the annotation of a GenBank genome assembly
UUUCCUGUGGCUCAGUCAGUAGAGCUUUGCACUAACAAUGCACAGAUUGUGGGUUUGAACCCUAGAUAAA